AACGAACGCUGGCGGCAUGCCUAACACAUGCCAGUCGAACGAGACCUUCGGGUCUAGUGGCGCACGGGUGCGUAACGCGUGGGAACCUGCCCUUAGGUUCGGAAUAACUCCCCGAAAGGGGUGCUAAUACCGGAUAAUGUCUUCGGACCAAAGAUUUAUCGCCUUUGGAUGGGCCCGCGUUGGAUUAGCUAGUUGGUAGGGUAAAAGCCUACCAAGGCGACGAUCCAUAGCUGGUCUGAGAGGAUGAUCAGCCACACUGGGACUGAGACACGGCCCAGACUCCUACGGGAGGCAGCAGUGGGGAAUAUUGGACAAUGGGCGAAAGCCUGAUCCACCAAUGCCGCGUGAGUGAUGAAGGCCUUAGGGUUGUAAAGCUCUUUUACCCGGGAUGAUAAUGACAGUACCGGGAGAAUAAGCUCCGGCUAACUCCGU
This 432-nucleotide ribosomal RNA is filed under the name uncultured bacterium. RNAcentral's name for it is "partial 16S ribosomal RNA". It matches the Rfam family "Bacterial small subunit ribosomal RNA", at positions 29 to 506 of the family's 1533-position model. The record is from RNAcentral.